This 25-nucleotide ribosomal RNA is filed under the name Fusarium verticillioides. Its description in RNAcentral is "partial 28S ribosomal RNA". The record is from RNAcentral. Lineage: Eukaryota; Fungi; Ascomycota; Sordariomycetes; Hypocreales; Nectriaceae.
CAGGUAGGAAUACCCGCUGAACUUA